AUUGAACGCUGGCGGCAUGCUUUACACAUGCAAGUCGAACGCGAAAGCGGGGGCAACCCUGCCGGUAGAGUGGCGAACGGGUGAGUAACACAUCGGAACGUAUCCUCGCGUGGGGGACGAACCAGUCGAAAGACGGGCUAAUACCGCAUACGCUGGAGACGGGAAAGCAGGGACCCGCAAGGCCUUGUGCGCAUGGAGCGGCCGAUGUCUGAUUAGCUAGUUGGUGGGGUAAAGGCUCACCAAGGCGACGAUCAGUAGCUGGUCUGAGAGGAUGAUCAGCCACACUGGGACUGAGACACGGCCCAGACUCCUACGGGAGGCAGCAGUGGGGAA
Molecule: ribosomal RNA, 333 nt
Filed under: uncultured bacterium
Lineage: Bacteria
Description: bacterial SSU rRNA
Rfam family: Bacterial small subunit ribosomal RNA
Source: RNAcentral